This 1520-nucleotide ribosomal RNA is filed under the name Klebsiella pneumoniae. RNAcentral describes it as "bacterial SSU rRNA". It matches the Rfam family "Bacterial small subunit ribosomal RNA". The record is from RNAcentral. Lineage: Bacteria; Pseudomonadati; Pseudomonadota; Gammaproteobacteria; Enterobacterales; Enterobacteriaceae.
AGAGUUUGAUCAUGGCUCAGAUUGAACGCUGGCGGCAGGCCUAACACAUGCAAGUCGAGCGGUAGCACAGAGAGCUUGCUCUCGGGUGACGAGCGGCGGACGGGUGAGUAAUGUCUGGGAAACUGCCUGAUGGAGGGGGAUAACUACUGGAAACGGUAGCUAAUACCGCGUAAUGUCGCAAGACCAAAGUGGGGGACCUUCGGGCCUCAUGCCAUCAGAUGUGCCCAGAUGGGAUUAGCUAGUAGGUGGGGUAACGGCUCACCUAGGCGACGAUCCCUAGCUGGUCUGAGAGGAUGACCAGCCACACUGGAACUGAGACACGGUCCAGACUCCUACGGGAGGCAGCAGUGGGGAAUAUUGCACAAUGGGCGCAAGCCUGAUGCAGCCAUGCCGCGUGUGUGAAGAAGGCCUUCGGGUUGUAAAGCACUUUCAGCGGGGAGGAAGGCGGUGAGGUUAAUAACCUCAUCGAUUGACGUUACCCGCAGAAGAAGCACCGGCUAACUCCGUGCCAGCAGCCGCGGUAAUACGGAGGGUGCAAGCGUUAAUCGGAAUUACUGGGCGUAAAGCGCACGCAGGCGGUCUGUCAAGUCGGAUGUGAAAUCCCCGGGCUCAACCUGGGAACUGCAUUCGAAACUGGCAGGCUAGAGUCUUGUAGAGGGGGGUAGAAUUCCAGGUGUAGCGGUGAAAUGCGUAGAGAUCUGGAGGAAUACCGGUGGCGAAGGCGGCCCCCUGGACAAAGACUGACGCUCAGGUGCGAAAGCGUGGGGAGCAAACAGGAUUAGAUACCCUGGUAGUCCACGCCGUAAACGAUGUCGAUUUGGAGGUUGUGCCCUUGAGGCGUGGCUUCCGGAGCUAACGCGUUAAAUCGACCGCCUGGGGAGUACGGCCGCAAGGUUAAAACUCAAAUGAAUUGACGGGGGCCCGCACAAGCGGUGGAGCAUGUGGUUUAAUUCGAUGCAACGCGAAGAACCUUACCUGGUCUUGACAUCCACAGAACUUUCCAGAGAUGGAUUGGUGCCUUCGGGAACUGUGAGACAGGUGCUGCAUGGCUGUCGUCAGCUCGUGUUGUGAAAUGUUGGGUUAAGUCCCGCAACGAGCGCAACCCUUAUCCUUUGUUGCCAGCGGUUCGGCCGGGAACUCAAAGGAGACUGCCAGUGAUAAACUGGAGGAAGGUGGGGAUGACGUCAAGUCAUCAUGGCCCUUACGACCAGGGCUACACACGUGCUACAAUGGCAUAUACAAAGAGAAGCGACCUCGCGAGAGCAAGCGGACCUCAUAAAGUAUGUCGUAGUCCGGAUUGGAGUCUGCAACUCGACUCCAUGAAGUCGGAAUCGCUAGUAAUCGUAGAUCAGAAUGCUACGGUGAAUACGUUCCCGGGCCUUGUACACACCGCCCGUCACACCAUGGGAGUGGGUUGCAAAAGAAGUAGGUAGCUUAACCUUCGGGAGGGCGCUUACCACUUUGUGAUUCAUGACUGGGGUGAAGUCGUAACAAGGUAACCGUAGGGGAACCUGCGGUUG